Chinchilla lanigera (long-tailed chinchilla) is the source of this 932-nucleotide RNA transcript. It is a transcript of the gene named mitochondrial import inner membrane translocase subunit Tim13-like, with no coding region annotated. The transcript is spliced from 2 exons. NCBI's taxonomy places the organism in Eukaryota, Metazoa, Chordata, Mammalia, Rodentia, Chinchillidae. The record is from RefSeq and is a predicted model, not a curated record.
CUGUUUCCCAUGGUACCUGAAGAGACCUGGCCCGCUGCACAGCUGUGGUGUGACGCGCGCGGCCUUGUGGGAGUUGUAUACCGGACUACAUUUCCCAUGGUGCCCUGGGAGACUCAGUUUCUGAUGGCCGUGUGUUCGAGGCCGGUGGCCGAGGCUGAGUUGACUUAGCGGGGCCAUGGAGGGUGGCUUCGGCUUGGAUUCCGGGGGAUCUGGCGGCGGGAAACUGGACCCAGGAUUUAUCAUGGAGCAGGUGAAAGUGCAGAUUGCCGUGGCCAACGCGCAGGAGCUACUGCGGGUACUGCGUACACCGGAAUGGGGGUGAGGCGGAGAGGCUAACCCCGGGAAGCGGGCAUUGCGGUCGCGGUUUCGCCUGUGUCCACAGAGGAUGACUGACAAGUGUUUCCGGAAGUGCAUUGGGAAGCCAGGGGGAUCCCUGGACAAUUCGGAACAGAAAAUGCAUCGCCACGUGUAUGGAUCGCUACAUGGACGCCUGGAACACCGUGUCCCGCGCCUGUAAUUCACGACUGCAACGGGAACGAGCCAACAACACGUAACUGGGAAGCGCUGUAGUAGCCGUGGAGCCCACCCGCAGUCACCCCCACCACCGUCCAUCUCUGUAAAUGUGUUUUGUGAGGCAGGGCUAGCCUGCCCGUGGCGUCCAAGCAUGACACAAUUGUAAGGGGACAGUUGAGCCUGUCCCUUGCCAACCAGUGCAGCUUGGGUUUGGGGGAACCCGUGCUUUCUUGUCAGCUCAGUGGAUUUCCUUUGGGGCUGGGAGUCCCUGGCCCCUCCCCUAGUGUGGCCAGGUCAGCCCUCUGCCCUGGGCUGAAAACCUUUGUUUUGACCUUGUUGGGGUGGAGGUGGUGAGACUCUAGGGUGGCUGUGGCCUCCUGAGGGUGGACCAAUAAAUUGCUGAACCAGGGCCAAAGAAA